Molecule: ribosomal RNA, 1530 nt
Filed under: Lactiplantibacillus pentosus
Lineage: Bacteria; Bacillati; Bacillota; Bacilli; Lactobacillales; Lactobacillaceae
Description: bacterial SSU rRNA
Rfam family: Bacterial small subunit ribosomal RNA
Source: RNAcentral
AGUUUGAUCCUGGCUCAGGACGAACGCUGGCGGCGUGCCUAAUACAUGCAAGUCGAACGAACUCUGGUAUUGAUUGGUGCUUGCAUCAUGAUUUACAUUUGAGUGAGUGGCGAACUGGUGAGUAACACGUGGGAAACCUGCCCAGAAGCGGGGGAUAACACCUGGAAACAGAUGCUAAUACCGCAUAACAACUUGGACCGCAUGGUCCGAGUUUGAAAGAUGGCUUCGGCUAUCACUUUUGGAUGGUCCCGCGGCGUAUUAGCUAGAUGGUGAGGUAACGGCUCACCAUGGCAAUGAUACGUAGCCGACCUGAGAGGGUAAUCGGCCACAUUGGGACUGAGACACGGCCCAAACUCCUACGGGAGGCAGCAGUAGGGAAUCUUCCACAAUGGACGAAAGUCUGAUGGAGCAACGCCGCGUGAGUGAAGAAGGGUUUCGGCUCGUAAAACUCUGUUGUUAAAGAAGAACAUAUCUGAGAGUAACUGUUCAGGUAUUGACGGUAUUUAACCAGAAAGCCACGGCUAACUACGUGCCAGCAGCCGCGGUAAUACGUAGGUGGCAAGCGUUGUCCGGAUUUAUUGGGCGUAAAGCGAGCGCAGGCGGUUUUUUAAGUCUGAUGUGAAAGCCUUCGGCUCAACCGAAGAAGUGCAUCGGAAACUGGGAAACUUGAGUGCAGAAGAGGACAGUGGAACUCCAUGUGUAGCGGUGAAAUGCGUAGAUAUAUGGAAGAACACCAGUGGCGAAGGCGGCUGUCUGGUCUGUAACUGACGCUGAGGCUCGAAAGUAUGGGUAGCAAACAGGAUUAGAUACCCUGGUAGUCCAUACCGUAAACGAUGAAUGCUAAGUGUUGGAGGGUUUCCGCCCUUCAGUGCUGCAGCUAACGCAUUAAGCAUUCCGCCUGGGGAGUACGGCCGCAAGGCUGAAACUCAAAGGAAUUGACGGGGGCCCGCACAAGUGGUGGAGCAUGUGGUUUAAUUCGAAGCUACGCGAAGAACCUUACCAGGUCUUGACAUACUAUGCAAAUCUAAGAGAUUAGACGUUCCCUUCGGGGACAUGGAUACAGGUGGUGCAUGGUUGUCGUCAGCUCGUGUCGUGAGAUGUUGGGUUAAGUCCCGCAACGAGCGCAACCCUUAUUAUCAGUUGCCAGCAUUAAGUUGGGCACUCUGGUGAGACUGCCGGUGACAAACCGGAGGAAGGUGGGGAUGACGUCAAAUCAUCAUGCCCCUUAUGACCUGGGCUACACACGUGCUACAAUGGAUGGUACAACGAGUUGCGAACUCGCGAGAGUAAGCUAAUCUCUUAAAGCCAUUCUCAGUUCGGAUUGUAGGCUGCAACUCGCCUACAUGAAGUCGGAAUCGCUAGUAAUCGCGGAUCAGCAUGCCGCGGUGAAUACGUUCCCGGGCCUUGUACACACCGCCCGUCACACCAUGAGAGUUUGUAACACCCAAAGUCGGUGGGGUAACCUUUUAGGAACCAGCCGCCUAAGGUGGGACAGAUGAUUAGGGUGAAGUCGUAACAAGGUAGCCGUAG